RNAcentral lists this ribosomal RNA (708 nucleotides) under uncultured bacterium. RNAcentral describes it as "bacterial SSU rRNA". It matches the Rfam family "Bacterial small subunit ribosomal RNA", at positions 812 to 1533 of the family's 1533-position model. The record is from RNAcentral.
UCAACUGGUUGUUGGGGNNNNGACACUNNCAGUAACGAAGCUAACGCGUGAAGUUGACCGCCUGGGGAGUACGGCCGCAAGGUUAAAACUCAAAGGAAUUGACGGGGACCCGCACAAGCGGUGGAUUAUGUGGAUUAAUUCGAUGCAACGCGAAAAACCUUACCUACCCUUGACAUGUCCUGGAGCCCGGAGAGAUCUGGGUGUGCCCGAAAGGGAACGGGAACACAGGUGCUGCAUGGCUGUCGUCAGCUCGUGUCGUGAGAUGUUGGGUUAAGUCCCGCAACGAGCGCAACCCUUGUCAUUAGUUGCUACAUUUAGUUGGGCACUCUAAUGAGACUGCCGGUGACAAACCGGAGGAAGGUGGGGAUGACGUCAAGUCCUCAUGGCCCUUAUGGGUAGGGCUUCACACGUAAUACAAUGGCGCGUACAGAGGGUUGCCAAGCCGCGAGGUGGAGCCAAUCCCAGAAAGCGCGUCGUAGUCCGGAUUGCAGUCUGCAACUCGACUGCAUGAAGUCGGAAUCGCUAGUAAUCGCGGAUCAGCAUGUCGCGGUGAAUACGUUCCCGGGUCUUGUACACACCGCCCGUCACACCAUGGGAGCGGGUUUCACCAGAAGCCGGUAGCCUAACCGCAAGGGGGGCGCCGACCACGGUGAGAUUCGUGACUGGGGUGAAGUCGUAACAAGGUAGCCGAAUCGANNUCCCGCGGCC